AUUGUUGAUGACAUGCGCAGUGCCAGGGAUGUUAUCCACAAACAAGCUUACGUUUUUCACGUUCUUUCUAUCUGCCGGUGUAGUUUCAUUGAAGAGGUUCCAAAUGAAAUUUGUGGCGUUUCCCAUUUUUUGCUGGGUGUAGUUCACACCCAGCUUAUUUUUGAAGCGCAUACCGCCGGGGGUGUUUGGAGCCCGGUUAACGACGGCGUAGUGGACAGCAUGAGCCCCAUGCAAGGAUGCUAGGGCAAGGAGAGAGGCGAGCAUGAAAGAAAAGAGAAAACGAGCAGCAGCCAUACCCGUAGUGUGUGUUUGUAAU
RNAcentral lists this long non-coding RNA (316 nucleotides) under Prunus persica (peach). RNAcentral describes it as "long non-coding RNA (PPER_LNC008382)". The record is from RNAcentral. Lineage: Eukaryota; Viridiplantae; Streptophyta; Magnoliopsida; Rosales; Rosaceae.